AGCCUGGGAAACUGGGUCUAAUACCGAAUAUGACCAUGCACUUCCUGGUGUGUGGUGGAAAGCUUUUGCGGUGUGGGAUGGGCCCGCGGCCUAUCAGCUUGUUGGUGGGGUAAUGGCCUACCAAGGCGACGACGGGUAGCCGGCCUGAGAGGGUGACCGGCCACACUGGGACUGAGAUACGGCCCAGACUCCUACGGGAGGCAGCAGUGGGGAAUAUUGCACAAUGGGCGCAAGCCUGAUGCACCGACGCCGCGUGAGGGAUGACGGCCUUCGGGUUGUAAACCUCUUUCAACACAGACGAAGCGCAAGUGACGGUACCUGUAGAAGAAGGACCGGCCAACUACGUGCCAGCAGCCGCGGUAAUAC
This 366-nucleotide ribosomal RNA is filed under the name Mycobacterium sp. c2. Its description in RNAcentral is "bacterial SSU rRNA". It matches the Rfam family "Bacterial small subunit ribosomal RNA", at positions 146 to 526 of the family's 1533-position model. Lineage: Bacteria; Bacillati; Actinomycetota; Actinomycetes; Mycobacteriales; Mycobacteriaceae. The record is from RNAcentral.